This is a non-coding RNA of Mus caroli (Ryukyu mouse), 1219 nucleotides long. NCBI's taxonomy places the organism in Eukaryota, Metazoa, Chordata, Mammalia, Rodentia, Muridae. The record is from RefSeq and is a predicted model, not a curated record.
CCCAAGCCGCCUCCCAGCGCCAUUCCCCACGUCCCCUUGUCCGGGCCAUGGAGGGCUUAGUGCUGCGCCCCGCCAAAGACUACCGGGUGGUGCUGCUGGGCAGCGUGGCGGUGGGUAAGACGGCGCUGGCCACGCAGUUCGCGUGCGGCCGCUUCCCCGAGCGCUGCGAGCCGUCGGUGGAGGAGCUGUUCAGCAAGGUGAUCGAGGUGAACCGGGCUCCCGCGCUGCUGGAGAUCGUGGACACGGUGGGCGCGGAGCAUCUGGUCACCCUCAAGGACCUGUACAUCAGGAACAGCGACGGCUUCGUGGUGCUCUACAGCGUGUGCGAUGAGGCCUCGUUCCAGGCCGUGCGGCCGCUGCGGGAGCGCAUGGACCGGCUGCGGGGCUCGCGCGCGGUCCCGCUCGUGCUGGUGGGCACCAAGGCCGACCUAGAUGCCGAGCGCCAGGUGCUGACGGCCCAGGGCCGCGCGCUGGCCCGCGAGUGGCGCUGCCCGUUCCUGGAGAUCACGACCAAGAGCAAAACGAUGGUGGACCGCGUGUUCACGCAGGUGGUGCGCGAGAUGGAGGCCCUGGCCCCGCCGGGGCAGGAGGCUCCCCGCAUCCCCGCCAAUGCCCUGGAGACGUGGCCCGCCGAGAGGUUCAUUGGCUAGCGCGCCACGGUCCGCCAGCUCAGUGCCUUUUCCCAGAAACGUAUCCAACCGUAGACAAGUGGCUGCUUUUCUGUAUAUUCACCGCAAAGGGUGCUGGUGCUUCAAUCUGCCUGCCUGUCUUUCUUCAAUGUUAGGCAAAAACUUUGCAACAUUCCCCUCUGUUGACCUCCGACUGUGCUACAAGAAGAAACCAAAAUUUACAUUUUCCCGUAGAGAAAAUUUACAGCCCUGUUCAAUCUGUUUCGGACUCCCACCCACCCGUCUAAUUUUUGUAAAUAGCAACUCGGGAACUUUUGAUUGGUUGGGAAGUGUGCACUGGAAGAAACGUUUUCUUCAGCUUUAGGACGGCUUUCUCUCCUUUACAGCCUUGAAUCCAGCAGUGAGAUUUUCCUCAACAUGAAUCCCUAAAUAUAGUUAUGACUUAGGCCAUAUUGGUUUGAAAGGGGAUACUGGACGGGAGACAACUGUGCACACACACUAAGAUAGCUCGGCCCUACCUUGUAAUUGACAUUUAGCUGGUUUCCACAUCCUCUGCACUGGGAAUAAAAUUAGAAGUUGGUGAUUUUUAA